AUGGCAGCCGUUCUAGCAUCUUUACUUGGAUCAUGUGCCAAUAAGUUGAAAGAUAUCAUUAUUGAUGAAGCCAUAUUAAUCCUAGGGGUGGAAAAAGAGCUCACAGAAGUACUGCGACGAGUAGAACUAAUACGGUGUUGCAUAUAUGAUGCUGAGAAAAGGAGGACAGAAGAGCAAGCAGUAAACAAUUGGCUUGAUCAGCUGAGAGAUGUUAUGUAUGAUGUUGAAGAAAUCUUGGACGGGGCUAAAUGUAAAGGAAACAAGCUACUUCCUGACCACCCUCCAUCAUCUUCAGGCAAAUCAGUUGCAUGUAAUGGCCUUUCAGUUUCCUCUUGUUUCUGCAACAUCGGGCCACGUCGUGAUGUUGUUGUUCGGAUUAGAAGCCUCAACAAGAAGAUAGAGAACAUUUUGCAUGACACGAUAUUUUUAACAUUCAACAGUAGUACACAACCUGCUGGAAAUGGUCCAAAGUGCAAAAUGAUAAGAAGCUCCAAUCUUGUUGAGCCCAACCUUAUGGGAAGGAGAUCAUACAUUCCAGCAGGAAGUUGGUGGACUUGGUGCUUGUGCACAAGGAAAAUAAGUCUUACAAGCUUGCUAUUGUUGGAACAGGAGGAGUUGGUAAGACAACACUAG
This 633-nucleotide ribosomal RNA is filed under the name Triticum aestivum (bread wheat). Its description in RNAcentral is "partial small subunit ribosomal RNA". Lineage: Eukaryota; Viridiplantae; Streptophyta; Magnoliopsida; Poales; Poaceae. The record is from RNAcentral.